This 253-nucleotide ribosomal RNA is filed under the name uncultured bacterium. Its description in RNAcentral is "partial 16S ribosomal RNA". It matches the Rfam family "Bacterial small subunit ribosomal RNA", at positions 524 to 776 of the family's 1533-position model. The record is from RNAcentral.
UACGGGGGGAGCAAGCGUUGUUCGGAAUCACUGGGCGUAAAGGGCGUGUAGGCGGUUCGGUAAGUGGGAUGUGAAAUCCCUCGGCUCACCCGAGGACCUGCAUCCCAUACUGCUGAGCUUGAGUACAGGAGAGGGUGGGGGAAUUCCUGGUGUAGCGGUGAAAUGCGUAGAUAUCAGGAGGAACACCGGUGGCGAAGGCGCCCACCUGGCCUGCUACUGACGCUAAGGCGCGAAAGCUAGGGGAGCAAACGGG